AUGCUCGCAGAGCAGAGCAGAGGAGGACGACGCAGUGAGAGCACAAUGCGAGCCGCUAGCUCGCGCGCCCGCCGUCUCCUAUCUGCAAGGCUCGUCGCCGUUGGACUCGUCCGCUCCCGGGUCUCCAAAUGCUGGCCAGGAUGCACCGGCUGCAGCUGCAGAAGCACCGAGGAGCUCCAUUGCUGGGGUAGGAGGAAGAUGGGGCAUUUUCUUGAGAGGAGGAGAUUACUAUUCAAGUGUGAGGGCGAGAAGAAGAUGCUAGAGAAAAAAGGAUUAGUGGUGUUUAUAUACUCACAUGGCUAG
This 303-nucleotide ribosomal RNA is filed under the name Triticum aestivum (bread wheat). RNAcentral's name for it is "partial small subunit ribosomal RNA". Lineage: Eukaryota; Viridiplantae; Streptophyta; Magnoliopsida; Poales; Poaceae. The record is from RNAcentral.